RNAcentral lists this ribosomal RNA (132 nucleotides) under Deltaproteobacteria bacterium. RNAcentral describes it as "partial 16S ribosomal RNA". It matches the Rfam family "Bacterial small subunit ribosomal RNA", at positions 1 to 130 of the family's 1533-position model. The record is from RNAcentral. Lineage: Bacteria; Pseudomonadati; Myxococcota; Myxococcia.
AAACUUGAGAGUUUGAUCCUGGCUCAGAACAAACGCUGGCGGCGUGCCUAACACAUGCAAGUCGUACGAGAAAGGGUCCUUCGGGACCUGAGUAAAGUGGCGCACGGGUGAGUAACGCGUGGAUAAUCUGCC